This 463-nucleotide ribosomal RNA is filed under the name uncultured bacterium. RNAcentral describes it as "partial 16S ribosomal RNA". It matches the Rfam family "Bacterial small subunit ribosomal RNA", at positions 28 to 507 of the family's 1533-position model. The record is from RNAcentral.
GACGAACGCUGGCGGCGUGCUUAACACAUGCAAGUCGAACGGUGAACCUCUUCGUAUGGGAUCAGUGGCGAACGGGUGAGUAACACGUGGGCAACCUGCCCCCGUCUCUGGGUUAACUCCAAGUAAUUGGGGCUAAUACCGGAUGUUCACCGCUUCCCGCCUGGGUUGUGGUGCAUAGGUUUUGCGGCUGGGGAUGGGCCCGCUGCCUAUCAUCUUGUUGGUGGGGUAGUGUCCUACCAAGGCGACGACGGGUAGCCGGCAUGCGAGGGUGACCGGCCACAAUGGGACUGAGAGAAGGCCCAGAAUCGUACGGGAGGCAACAGUGGGGAAUAUUGCAGAAUGGGCGGAAGCAUGAGGAAGAGACGCGGCGUGGGGGAUGACGGCCUUCGGGUUGUAAACCGCUUUCAGCAGAGACGAAGCGAAAGUGACGGUAACUGCAGAAGAAGCACCGGCCAACUACGUG